RNAcentral lists this ribosomal RNA (194 nucleotides) under uncultured Methylobacter sp. RNAcentral describes it as "partial 16S ribosomal RNA". It matches the Rfam family "Bacterial small subunit ribosomal RNA", at positions 337 to 524 of the family's 1533-position model. The record is from RNAcentral. Lineage: Bacteria; Pseudomonadati; Pseudomonadota; Gammaproteobacteria; Methylococcales; Methylococcaceae.
UCCUACGGGAGGCAGCAGUGGGGAAUCUUGCGCAAUGGGCGAAAGCCUGACGCAGCGACGUCGCGUGCGGGAAGAAGGCCUUCGGGUUGUAAACCGCUUUCAGGAGGGACGAAGCCACUCGGGUUAAUAGCCCAGAGGGUGACGGUACCUCCAGAAGAAGCCCCAGCUAACUACGUGCCAGCAGCCGCGGUAAU